AACGCACAUUGCGCCCCUUGGUAUUCCGGGGGGCAUGCCUGUUCGAGCGUCAUUUCAACCCUCACGCGUAGCGUGGUCUUGGGCUCUGCCGGCAACGGCUGGCCUUAAAAUCAGUGGCGGUGCCAUCGAGCUCUACGCGUAGUAAUAAACCCCUCGCGUGUGAGUCUCGGCGGUCGCUUGCCAGCAACCCCCAAUUUUUUAUGGUUGACCUCGAAUCAGGUAGGGAUACCCGCUGAACUUAA
This 242-nucleotide unclassified non-coding RNA is filed under the name uncultured fungus. RNAcentral describes it as "partial contains 5.8S ribosomal RNA, internal transcribed spacer 2, and large subunit ribosomal RNA". The record is from RNAcentral. RNAcentral also lists the same sequence under 1 other name. Lineage: Eukaryota; Fungi.